AAAAAUUCAGUGCAAAAUAAUUCAACGUCUCAAAAAAUUCUGUGUAAAAAUAUUCAGAGUCAACAUCCAGGUAACCACGGAGAAGCAAUCGAUCCCUGUAUCAAAUCAUCCAACAUCCAGCCAAUCAAGUUACGCUCCAUUGGUCAUGUGACACCGAAACAGGAAGGCGGUGAAGUUCAGGUGAGCUCUGGUCAGAGCUCCGGUCAGAGCUCAGCAUGGCUCAGAACACAAAUGAUUGCGCUUCGCUACAACAUUGUUGUCUUUGGUGGUAUUGACGGUUUUUCCCGUAAGAUAAUGUAUCUUGGUGCAGCCUCCAACAACCUUACAUCAACCACCCUGGCUUUCUUCCUAGAAUCUGUUGAGAAGUUUGGUUUUCCUCUCAGGGCAUGGAUAUUCUUGACAUUGAGUGGGAAAACAGCGGACUUCCAUUUGAUGACCAGUCGAGCAUCAUUGUUCCAGACACAGCAUGCCCCCUGACCGAUGGACAAAUGACA
Molecule: long non-coding RNA, 494 nt
Organism: Sander lucioperca (pikeperch)
Lineage: Eukaryota; Metazoa; Chordata; Actinopteri; Perciformes; Percidae
Exons: 4
Source: RefSeq, a predicted model, not a curated record